This is an RNA transcript of Oreochromis niloticus (Nile tilapia), 390 nucleotides long. RefSeq lists it as uncharacterized. The record is from RefSeq and is a predicted model, not a curated record. Lineage: Eukaryota; Metazoa; Chordata; Actinopteri; Cichliformes; Cichlidae. The transcript has 3 exons.
CUGCAGAGGAACAAGAGGAAACCCAGUUUACUACACUGAUAUAAGUGAUGAUGUCACCAUUGAGAUAACCUUUUCCAAUAAAGUUGUUGUAAAACAACAACCCAACUGGCCUCAGAUAUUCAGAGGUGAGACGAUCACUCUGACAUGUGAGGUGCAGGAAGGAGGUGAAACCACUGAGUGGGAGUAUGAAUGGAGAGGACCCAGCACACCCACACAGUGGACACACAAUAAUGAUGUGACAUUCAGAGUUUCUGAGUCCAGCAGUGGAGACUACAUGUGUAAGAGUCGACGCAGAGAUGACUCAUAUUCUUCAACAGAGUGGAGUGAAGCCUUCACAUUGUCAGCAUCAAAUAAACCAAAGGCCAAACUGAGAGCUGAUAACACAGCUGU